This 468-nucleotide ribosomal RNA is filed under the name uncultured bacterium. RNAcentral describes it as "partial 16S ribosomal RNA". It matches the Rfam family "Bacterial small subunit ribosomal RNA", at positions 28 to 507 of the family's 1533-position model. The record is from RNAcentral.
GACGAACGCUGGCGGCGUGCUUAACACAUGCAAGUCGAACGGAAAGGCCCUGCUUUUGUGGGGUGCUCGAGUGGCGAAAGGGUGAGUAACACGUGAGUAACCUGCCCUUGACUUUGGGAUAACUUCAGGAAACUGGGGCUAAUACCGGAUAGGAGCUCCUGCUGCAUGGUGGGGGUUGGAAAGUUUCGGCGGUUGGGGAUGGACUCGCGGCUUAUCAGCUUGUUGGUGGGGUAGUGGCUUACCAAGGCUUUGACGGGUAGCCGGCCUGAGAGGGUGACCGGCCACAUUGGGACUGGGAUACGGCCCAGACUCCUACGGGAGGCAGCAGUGGAGAAUAGUGCACAAUGGGCGGAAGCCUGAUGCAGCAACGCCGCGUGCGGGAUGACUGCCUUCGGGUUGUAAACCGCUUUCGCCUGGGACGAAGCGUGAGUGACGGUAAUGGGUAAAGAAGCACCGGCUAACUACGUG